Molecule: ribosomal RNA, 122 nt
Organism: Cercocebus atys (sooty mangabey)
Lineage: Eukaryota; Metazoa; Chordata; Mammalia; Primates; Cercopithecidae
Source: Ensembl
GUCUAUGGCCGUACCACCCUGAACGUGCCCGAUCUCGUCUGAUCUUGGAAGCUAAGCAGGGUUGGGCCUGGUUAGUACUUGGAUGGGGGACUGCCUGGGAAUACCACCAGGUGCUGUAGGUG